RNAcentral lists this ribosomal RNA (301 nucleotides) under uncultured bacterium. Its description in RNAcentral is "partial 16S ribosomal RNA". It matches the Rfam family "Bacterial small subunit ribosomal RNA", at positions 509 to 807 of the family's 1533-position model. The record is from RNAcentral.
CAGCCGCCACGGUAAUACGAAGGGUGCAAGCGUUACUCGGAAUUACUGGGCGUAAAGCGCACGUAGGCGGCUUUGUAAGUUAGAGGUGAAAGCCCGGAGCUCAACUCCGGAAUUGCCUUUAAGACUGCAGAGCUAGCAGGUGAGAGAGGUGAGUGGAAUUCCGAGUGUAGAGGUGAAAUUCGUAGAUAUUCGGAAGAACACCAGUGGCGAAGGCGGCUUACUGGCUCAUACUGGACGCUGAGGUGCGAAAGCGUGGGGAGCAAACAGGAUUAGAUACCCCCGUAGUCCCUGUCUCUUAUAC